CCCCCUCCUGCCAAGUCUUUGGGGGACCUAAAGAUAGCAUAGGAUAGGAUGCAUUUGCUGCCUUGUAUAUUGCUUGAUGAUGAAGCUCUAGAAAAAGGAAGCAAUUAUUGUAGAUAAGUCUCCCAUUCCAGCAUGGCUCUGCAGCAGGAAUAGGAGGUCUAGGCAGAGAAAGCCUGAAGCAGUACCCAACAGGCCUGCAGUCCCAGGAGAUGCCAGAGAGCCAAACAUUUCCCAUUCCCCUGAGAUGAGUAUUUGUGUGGCCUUUUGGGUUUAUCACUUUUAUAACACAUAAAAUCCAUAACUGCUAUUAACAUAAAUGUUAAUCAUGCUGCAUUCUAAUUUUCCUUUCUCUUAUUUAGAUAUCAAAUGGCUUAUAAGCUUCUGGAAUCAACUGUGUGAUCUUCAAAACUGGCAACUUGAGAACAGAGCAGGAAGCCUGAAGUAGGAAGAGAGUGGGAUUCCAUAAGGAUUAGCCUUUGUCAUCUGAGCAAGGUGAAGGGACGAGGAGCAAGAGAACUGAGAGUGGACCCAAGGAAGUAAUUGAUUAACCACGAAACUAAACAAAGUGAGUAAGGUAAAGGAAGCAGGCCAUGAAAAUGGUACGGAUAGUAAAAGGGUGGUAGAGCCGAUGAGUGUUUCGGGUCCUGGAACAACGUUCAGAGUCAAGGCACUAGAGAGAAACAGUUAGAAAGAUAGGAAAUGGAGGUCAAAAAUAUAAAAUAAAAUGUUAAAAUAGAAGGGUAGAAUGGAUGGCUAAUUGUAGAAGGGAUGUGGCUAUUGGCAAGGACUAGGUCCAAAGUGGGCUACAGGAGAGAGAUGCUGAAGUAGGGUGGAGAGCAAGAUCAUUGCAGGGAAGGGGGCAAGAAACCAAGACCUCUUGGAGGAUCAUCUACUUACUGGAAUCACUAAUAAUUAGGUCAGGAGUAAUAAUGAAGAUGGUGAUUGUAAUUAAGCCUGGAGAUAAAGUCUUUAAGAAAUGAGAGUGGCAGUGACCAUGGGUUUUUAGAAGUGUGCAAACAGUAGAAGAAUGUGAGGUACAGUCUAAGGGCGUAACAUUUCAAACGGGGGUGGUGGGAUAAUGAUCUUUUAUCUAGGCAAUGAUAAUUGUCUUCUUAACAUGCAUUCUCUGGUAGAGUUUGGAUGUUUGUCCCCUCCAAAUCUUAUGUAGAAAUGUGAUCCCCAAAGUUGGAGGUAGGGCCUAGUGGGAGGUGUUUGGGUCAUGGGAGCAGAUCUUUCAUUAAUAGCUUGGUUCCCUCACUACAAUAAUGAAUUCACAAGAGAGCUGGUUGUUUAAAAGCGCCUGGUAUCUCUCUUGCCGUGUCUCUCACCAUGUGACAUCCCUGCUCUCCCUUUGUCUUCUGCCAUGAGUGGAAGCAGCUUGAGGCCCCCACCAGAUGCAGAUGCCAGUGCUAUGCUUCUUGUACAGUCUGCAAAACCACAAGCCAAAUAAACCUCUUUUUUUUUUUUUUUUAUAAAUUACUAGCUCAGGCAUUCAUUUUUAGCAAUACAAAACAGACUAACAUGCUCUCUUCAACUCUGAGAGCUUUCUUUAUUAGGUAGGUAGAUGGAAGAAGUGCCUUGUACAUUACAAGAUAAUAACCCUUGUUUGUUUGCUUUUUUUUUUCAGGAAGAGUUUAUACUUUUGCCCUAAUUUUGUAGUUCAUCUAUUUUUCAUUGUACACUAG
This 1685-nucleotide long non-coding RNA is filed under the name Callithrix jacchus (white-tufted-ear marmoset). Its description in RNAcentral is "lncRNA (ENSCJAG00000081642.1)". Lineage: Eukaryota; Metazoa; Chordata; Mammalia; Primates; Cebidae. The record is from RNAcentral.